RNAcentral lists this transfer RNA (79 nucleotides) under Pyrinomonadaceae bacterium. Its description in RNAcentral is "tRNA-Met". The record is from RNAcentral. Lineage: Bacteria; Pseudomonadati; Acidobacteriota; Blastocatellia; Blastocatellales; Pyrinomonadaceae.
UGCGGGGAUGUGCCCCGGCUGGGCACAGCGGUUACAUACGCCGCUUCCAUGAAGGCGGGUUCGACUCCCGCCCCCGCGA